RNAcentral lists this ribosomal RNA (158 nucleotides) under Episternus onthophagi. RNAcentral describes it as "5.8S ribosomal RNA". It matches the Rfam family "5.8S ribosomal RNA". From Rfam's summary of the family: 5.8S ribosomal RNA (5.8S rRNA) is a component of the large subunit of the eukaryotic ribosome. It is transcribed by RNA polymerase I as part of the 45S precursor that also contains 18S and 28S rRNA. Functionally, it is thought that 5.8S rRNA may be involved in ribosome translocation. Lineage: Eukaryota; Fungi; Ascomycota; Sordariomycetes; Sordariales; Lasiosphaeriaceae. The record is from RNAcentral.
AAACUUUCAACAACGGAUCUCUUGGUUCUGGCAUCGAUGAAGAACGCAGCGAAAUGCGAUAAGUAAUGCGAAUUGCAGAAUUCCGUGAGUCAUCGAAUCUUUGAACGCACAUUGCGCCCGCCAGUAUUCUGGCGGGCAUGCCUGUCCGAGCGUCAUUU